This 641-nucleotide ribosomal RNA is filed under the name Cortinarius paradoxus. RNAcentral describes it as "eukaryotic LSU rRNA". The stretch from base 257 to 410 matches the Rfam family "5.8S ribosomal RNA". Lineage: Eukaryota; Fungi; Basidiomycota; Agaricomycetes; Agaricales; Cortinariaceae. The record is from RNAcentral.
CCUGCGGAAGGAUCAUUAUUGAAAUAAACCUGAUGAGUUGUUGCUGGUUCUCUAGGGAGCAUGUGCACACUUGUCAUCUUUAUAUCUCUCCACCUGUGCACCUUUUGUAGACCUGGAUAUCUCUCUGAAUGCUAGCAUUCAGGUUUGAGGUUUGACCUUUUGGUCUCUCCUUACAUUUCCAGGCCUAUGUUUCUUCAUAUACCCCUUGUAUGUUAUAGAAUGUAAUAAAUGGGCCUUUGUGCCUAUAAAACUAUACAACUUUCAGCAACGGAUCUCUUGGCUCUCGCAUCGAUGAAGAACGCAGCGAAAUGCGAUAAGUAAUGUGAAUUGCAGAAUUCAGUGAAUCAUCGAAUCUUUGAACGCACCUUGCGCUCCUUGGUAUUCCGAGGAGCAUGCCUGUUUGAGUGUCAUUAAUAUAUCAACCUCUUCAGCUUUUGCUUGUUGAGCGUUGGAUGUGGGGGUCUUUAUUUGUUGGCCUCUUUUCUGAGGUCAGCUCCCCUGAAAUGCAUUAGUGGAACAAUUUGUUGACUGUUCAUUGGUGUGAUAACUAUCUACGCUAUUGACGGUGAAGCAAGUUCAGCUUCUAACAGUACCAUUGACUUGGACAAAAAUUUAUUGAGUGUGACCUCAAAUCAGGUAGG